CUGCCCUUCCAUCCCUUGGAUAGAUAGAGAGGGAGGGCAGAGCUUUUUUUGGUUUUUUCAUGUUGUCAAAGAGUUGAACAAUGGUUUUUUCGUGUUGUCAAAGAGUUGAACAAUCAAAAUAGAUGGCGAGUGCCUAAUCGAAUUGAUCGGGUCAUGUAGGAACAAGGUUCAAGUCUACCGGUCUGUUAGGAUGCCUCAGCUGCAUACAUCACUGCACUUCCACUUGACACCUAUCGUGAUGAUAAACGGCUCAUCUCGCCGUGACCUUC
Molecule: ribosomal RNA, 269 nt
Filed under: Cucumis melo subsp. melo
Lineage: Eukaryota; Viridiplantae; Streptophyta; Magnoliopsida; Cucurbitales; Cucurbitaceae
Description: 4.5S ribosomal RNA
Source: RNAcentral